GGCGCAAGCCUGAUCCAGCAAUGCCGCGUGCAGGAAGAAGGCCUUCGGGUUGUAAACUGCUUUUGUACGGAACGAAACGGUCCGGGUUAAUACCCUGGGCUAAUGACGGUACCGUAAGAAUAAGCACCGGCUAACUACGUGCCAGCAGCCGCGGUAAUACGUAGGGUGCAAGCGUUAAUCGGAAUUACUGGGCGUAAAGCGUGCGCAGGCGGUUUUGUAAGACAGGCGUGAAAUCCCCGGGCUCAACCUGGGAAUUGCGCUUGUGACUGCAAGGCUGGAGUGCGGCAGAGGGGGAUGGAAUUCCGCGUGUAGCAGUGAAAUGCGUAGAUAUGCGGAGGAACACCGAUGGCGAAGGCAAUCCCCUGGGCCUGCACUGACGCUCAUGCACGAAAGCGUGGGGAGCAAACAGGAUUAGAUACCCUGGUAGUCCACGCCCUAAACGAUGUCAACUGGUUGUUGGGAAUUUACUUUCUCAGUAACGAAGCUAACGCGUGAAGUUGACCGCCUGGGGAGUACGGCCGCAAGGUUGAAACUCAAAUG
This 540-nucleotide ribosomal RNA is filed under the name Hydrogenophaga sp. enrichment culture. RNAcentral's name for it is "bacterial SSU rRNA". It matches the Rfam family "Bacterial small subunit ribosomal RNA", at positions 374 to 907 of the family's 1533-position model. Lineage: Bacteria; Pseudomonadati; Pseudomonadota; Betaproteobacteria; Burkholderiales; Comamonadaceae. The record is from RNAcentral.